This is a long non-coding RNA of Rosa rugosa (rugosa rose), 236 nucleotides long. RefSeq lists it as uncharacterized. The transcript has 3 exons. NCBI's taxonomy places the organism in Eukaryota, Viridiplantae, Streptophyta, Magnoliopsida, Rosales, Rosaceae. The record is from RefSeq and is a predicted model, not a curated record.
CUAGUGGCCAAUCCUCCUGGAUAAUCUUCAUGUUUAGUAAAUAGAUGGAUAUCUUUCUCUUAGACAUCGAUACAAUCCUCCAGAAUGCCAGUUGUCUUCUCUGCUUGUCACAGAGUACUCAAGGAGGUUUGUAGAAGGUUGCCGGGUUUUUCACCCGCUGAAGUGUUGGAUUUUGGUGCUGGCAUGGGUUUGGCUUUCUGGGCACUAUGAGAAGUCUGGCCGAAUUCCUUGGAGAA